RNAcentral lists this ribosomal RNA (661 nucleotides) under uncultured bacterium. RNAcentral describes it as "bacterial SSU rRNA". It matches the Rfam family "Bacterial small subunit ribosomal RNA", at positions 100 to 759 of the family's 1533-position model. The record is from RNAcentral.
GCACGGGUGAGUAACGCGUAUCCAACCUGCCCAUCACUUGGGGAUAACCUUGCGAAAGUAAGACUAAUACCCAAUGAUAUCUCUAGAAGGCAUCUGAAAGAGAUUAAAGAUUUAUCGGUGAUGGAUGGGGAUGCGUCUGAUUAGCUUGUUGGCGGGGUAACGGCCCACCAAAGCAACGAUCAGUAGGGGUUCUGAGAGGAAGGUCCCCCACAUUGGAACUGAGACACGGUCCAAACUCCUACGGGAGGCAGCAGUGAGGAAUAUUGGUCAAUGGACGAGAGUCUGAACCAGCCAAGUAGCGUGCAGGAUGACGGCCCUAUGGGUUGUAAACUGCUUUUAUAAGGGAAUAAAGUGAGUCUCGUGAGACUUUUUGCAUGUACCUUAUGAAUAAGGACCGGCUAAUUCCGUGCCAGCAGCCGCGGUAAUACGGAAGGUCCGGGCGUUAUCCGGAUUUAUUGGGUUUAAAGGGAGCGUAGGCCGGAGAUUAAGCGUGUUGUGAAAUGUAGAUGCUCAACAUCUGCACUGCAGCGCGAACUGGUUUCCUUGAGUACGCACAAAGUGGGCGGAAUUCGUGGUGUAGCGGUGAAAUGCUUAGAUAUCACGAAGAACUCCGAUUGCGAAGGCAGCUCACUGGAGCGCAACUGACGCUGAAGCUCGAAAG